GACUCGUUAGCUCAGCAGGUAGAGCACAUCCCUUUUAAGGAUGGGGCCUCGGGUUCGAAUCCCGAACGAGUCA
Molecule: transfer RNA, 73 nt
Filed under: Rikenellaceae bacterium
Lineage: Bacteria; Pseudomonadati; Bacteroidota; Bacteroidia; Bacteroidales; Rikenellaceae
Also listed under: 1 other name
Description: tRNA-Lys
Rfam family: tRNA
About the family: Transfer RNA (tRNA) molecules are approximately 80 nucleotides in length. Their secondary structure includes four short double-helical elements and three loops (D, anti-codon, and T loops).
Source: RNAcentral